ACGCACGCUGGCGGCGUGCUUAACCCCUGCCAGUCGAACGGUGAAGCGCCUUCCUUUUUGGUGGGUGUGGAUGAGUGGCGAACGGGUGAGUAACACGUGAGUAACCUGCCCCCUUCUUCUGGAUAACCGCAUGAAAGUGUGGCUAAUACGGGAUAUUCUGGGUCUGUCGCAUGAUGGGUCUGGGAAAGAUAUUGUUUCGGUGGGGGAUGGGCUCGCGGCCUAUCAGCUUGUUGGUGGGGUGAUGGCCUACCAAGGCGGUGACGGGUAGCCGGCCUGAGAGGGUGGACGGUCACACUGGGACUGAGGCACGGCCCAGACUCCUACGGGAGGCAGCAGUGGGGAAUAUUGCACAAUGGGCGCAAGCCUGAUGCAGCGACGCCGCGUGAGGGAUGGAGGCCUUCGGGUUGUGAACCUCUUUCGCCAGUGAAGCAGGCCUGCCUCGUUUGUGGGUGGGUUGACGGUAGCUGGAUAAGAAGCGCCGGCUAACUACGUG
RNAcentral lists this ribosomal RNA (493 nucleotides) under uncultured bacterium. RNAcentral describes it as "partial 16S ribosomal RNA". It matches the Rfam family "Bacterial small subunit ribosomal RNA", at positions 29 to 507 of the family's 1533-position model. The record is from RNAcentral.